RNAcentral lists this long non-coding RNA (272 nucleotides) under Sorghum bicolor (sorghum). Its description in RNAcentral is "long non-coding RNA (SBIC_LNC013126)". The record is from RNAcentral. Lineage: Eukaryota; Viridiplantae; Streptophyta; Magnoliopsida; Poales; Poaceae.
CGGGCGUGAGCGCGGGCCGGCGAGCGACGUGCGGCGAGCGGCGGCGGCGUGCGGCGGCGGCGGGCGAGCGGGCGCUGGGAAGUCAAAUGACCCCCAGCGCCCGCUCGGGCGUUUUAUUAAGUUCGGCCUCUUUGCCGAGGGCCUAGAUCCAGGGCCCUCGGCAAAGAGAUUUUUAUUUUUUUUUAUUAAUUUCUUUGCCGAGGGCUUGACCUAUGGCCCUCGGCAAAGAUUAUUUUAAAUAUUUUUUCCCCGAGUUAGUUUUUGCCGAGGGC